RNA transcript from Folsomia candida, 1054 nucleotides. RefSeq lists it as uncharacterized. The transcript is spliced from 3 exons. NCBI's taxonomy places the organism in Eukaryota, Metazoa, Arthropoda, Collembola, Entomobryomorpha, Isotomidae. The record is from RefSeq and is a predicted model, not a curated record.
CGGCAAGCCUACCGGUCUGUCUCACCUGUCGUAUCAGAUUUUCAAAUGGGAGCAUUUCGAAAACUACGGUUAUGUAAAUUGAUCUUGGUUGUGAACAUUGUCCUCUUAAUACCAACAAUUUCGUCCACCCCGGUAAAAGAUGCAAACCUAGAAACUGCACAGAAUGUUAGUUCAGAAUCCAUUACGCCCAAAUUGGGGAAAAGUUUACAGGAAGAAAAGGAGCCUGGAACCAAACCAAAAUUACCGGUGACUGGAACCCGACGAAAAUCAAGGCAAUCAUACCCACUAAUGAUUUAUGGAGGAUGAUAUCUACCCUCCUGGGACGAAAGGCUGGGGUUCGGGUAAACUUGGAUGGGGAUCGAGCAAGCCUGGAUGGGGGUCAAGUAAGCCUGGCUGGGGGUCUGGAUGGAAGGCAACUGGAGGUGUUCCCGCUGUACCAUUUGGAUGGGGGUCAACCGGGGGUGGAUCGACACCCUUCGGUUCAGGGUUUGCAGGAUGGGGGUCAUUCGGGGGUUCCUCGGGGUGGGGAUCAAGCCUUGGCGGGUCAGCAGGCUGGGCUGGAGCAGGGUCACCAAUUCCAAGCUUUCAAUCCCCAUUUUCUGGCAUAGGGCCAGCCAUUGCCGGCUUGGGACCUAUUUUACAAGGUUUGGGGUUAGGUAAUCCUGGUAAUAGAUUUUCCUGGCCGUGGACGAAUCCUGGCAAUCUUGUCAUGAAUCCUUGUGAUUUGCGUCCGGGAGACACGACUUGCAUUGGGAUACUAGAAAAACCAGUGUAAAACAUUAUUUAAUUGUCGCUUGAAAAUUGUAUUUAUAUUUAUGCAUAUAUUUAUGUAUGUGCACAGUACCAUAUUUUCGUACAUUAAUACAAGUAAUCAGUUUCCUAUAAUAUUUACCAAUUUAAGUAUGUAUGUACAUACAUGUGUAGAUAUCUGGUUCAGGCUAACACAUUUUUAUCACAACGAAUGAUCCGAGAUCAAACCAGACGCAAAAACACGUUUUUUAUUCAUUUACAUAGUGGGGUCAUAAGUUCUCGUGAAUGCAUUUCCGGUAAUAAA